This 305-nucleotide ribosomal RNA is filed under the name uncultured bacterium. RNAcentral describes it as "bacterial SSU rRNA". It matches the Rfam family "Bacterial small subunit ribosomal RNA", at positions 337 to 640 of the family's 1533-position model. The record is from RNAcentral.
GCCUACGGGGGGCAGCAGUGAGGAAUAUUGGUCAAUGGGCGCGAGCCUGAACCAGCCAAGUCGCGUGAGGGAAGACGGUCCUAUGGAUUGAAAACCUCUUUUGUCGGGGAGCAAAAGACGCCACGUGUGGCGUUCCGAGAGUACCCGAAGAAAAAGCAUCGGCUAACUCCGUGCCAGCAGCCGCGGUAAUACGGAGGAUGCGAGCGUUAUCCGGAUUUAUUGGGUUUAAAGGGUGCGCAGGCGGAAGAUCAAGUCAGCGGUAAAAUUGAGAGGCUCAACCUCUUCGAGCCGUUGAAACUGGUUUU